CGCCGCGAGACAUGGCCUGCGCCUGCGCAAAAAACAGCGCCGCUGGCGAGGCGGGUCACGGCGGUGGCGGGGGGGGCGGAGCCACCGCGAAUGGUCACAGGGGCGUCUCCCCAGUAGCCGGCAGCUUCGGGGCGCCGGAGCGUGCCUGAUGCGUGUGGCAAGGGGCUGGGUCCCCGGCUGGCCGGAGCACCAAGUGCCCCACCCCGCCGCUGCUAGGCCCCCGACAGGUCCACCGCGCCCCGCCCGGAACGCAGGGGAUACCGCAAUGGGUGCCCCGAGAUCUGCCUCCUUGGGCUCCCGUGACCUGCGGUUUCUCCGGGCUCCGCUUCUGUGGGUGCGGGGCCCCCGCGCCGCCGUCCGGGGACUCGGCUUUGUCUCGCCGCCCAGUCGCGUUGGUGGUGGAAAGCGGGAGGUUUCCCUCCGCUCCCUCUGGGCGCGUGUUACUCAGAGCCCCGGAAUCAAGCGCCUGUCCCGGCCUGGACAGGUGCAUGGGGGCUCUGAAGCCUGGCCGGGCUUCUGCAAGUGUGAGAUGUUUGAUCUGCUGCCCUCGAAGCCGGCCGUGCGCCGGCGUCAGGGAGAGUCAGGAUAGAGGGCGGCGCUGAGCGGUGUAGCCAGGCCGUCUCCUUGAGGACUUGGCUGUCUUGGACGCGUGUGGGUGCCGCGUCGCUUUUGCUUCGCUCCGCACCGAGUGAGAUUCCUUCUUGUCUGCACAGCCUCUCAGAGGGUUAACUGGAACUUGCAUCGCAUGCCAGUUGAAUGCCUAUUCAAAAACAUUUUUUAAAAGAGAGGAAAAUGGAGGCCCAAGGAGCUGAAGCGAACUUAGCCACGAUCCCACAGAGAGCAAGCCCAGAGCCAGGACGGCCCCUCCAGAGCCAGCUUUGCCCAGGCAGGCCACUUCCCCAGGCCCCAGCAAAGCCAAGCUCAACUUCCUGACAAGAAGAAACCUGUACACAUACUUGCUAAACAAACGAAUGAGUGAACAAAUCAAAGAAUGGCCAUUUGACUGUCUGCUGCCCAGGGCCCCCCGGCUGCUGGCUGCUGGCUACAUCUGGUGUGGUCAGUUCUCUGGAAGCUUCACAGUAAGAACCGUGCAAGCCCAGCCCUUUUCAUCUGCAAGCAAACCCCUCCCUCCCCUGCCCUAUGGCUGAGCUGACUUGCAGCCUUGCCUCUCUGUGGUGGACCAGGCUGUGGGAACUCCUACACAAAGCCAGGCUGGAGAUAUCUACACUAAUGCAAGUGAGCGUCCCUGGCUCUCCCUGGCCCAAUCCCAGGCCCCGUGCCCUGAACAUGAGAAACCAAUGCUCCUAUUACGUACUUUGAUUUCAUUUCUCUGAUGACUGGAGAAGCAGUUUAAGGGCAGUUGCCGAGUGCGACGCUGCUGGUGUCGGCAAAGCCUGGGAGGUAGGGGAAGGGGUGCGUCUGUCUUAAGACUCCCGCUUCCCAUGUUGCACUGCCUGGGUCGGACACCUGGCUCUGGCUCCUGGCUCCAGCUUCUUGCCAAUGCAGGUCCUGGGAGGCAGCAGGGAAACCUAUGUAGUUGCAUUCCUGCCCACCUCAGGGAAGCUGGUUCCAGGCCCUUCCCCUGGCAUUGCAGGCAUUUGGGGAGUGCAGCAGUAACUCCCCCAGUCAGGAGUAACCCCUGUCUUACUUUGUGUCUCUGAA
This is a non-coding RNA of Oryctolagus cuniculus (rabbit), 1662 nucleotides long. NCBI's taxonomy places the organism in Eukaryota, Metazoa, Chordata, Mammalia, Lagomorpha, Leporidae. The record is from RefSeq and is a predicted model, not a curated record.